AUUGAACGCUGGCGGCAGGCCUAACACAUGCAAGUCGAGCGAGCGGCGGACGGGUGAGUAAUGUAUGGGGACUGCCCGAUAGAGGGGGAUAACUACUGGAAACGGUGGCUAAUAACGCAUAAUGUCGGAUAACCCAUAUGGGAUUAACUAGUAGGUAAGGUAAUGGCUUAACGAGGCGACGAUACCUAGCUGGUCUGAGAGGAUGAUCAGCCACACUGUGACUGGGACACGGCCCAGACUCCUACGGAGGCAGCAGGUGGGAAUAUUGCACAAUGGGCGCAAGCAUGAGGCAGCCAUGCCGCGUGUAUGAAGAAGGCCUUAGGGUUGUAAAGUACUUUCAGUCGGGAGGCGUUACCGACAGAAGAAGCACCGGCUAACUCCGUGCCAGCCGCCGCGGUAAUUC
Molecule: ribosomal RNA, 403 nt
Filed under: uncultured bacterium
Lineage: Bacteria
Description: partial 16S ribosomal RNA
Rfam family: Bacterial small subunit ribosomal RNA
Source: RNAcentral